UACGGGAGGCAGCAGUGGGGAAUAUUGCACAAUGGGCGAAAGCCUGAUGCAGCUAUGCCGCGUGUAUGAAGAAGGCCUUAGGGUUGUAAAGUACUUUCAUCGGGGAGGAAAAAACAAAACUAAUAAUUUUAUUUCUUGACGUUACCCGAAAAAGAAGCACCGGCUAACUCCGUGCCAGCAGCCGCGGUAAUACGGAGGGUGCUAGCGUUAAUCAGAAUUACUGGGCGUAAAGAGCACGUAGGUGGUUUUUUUAAGUCAGAUGUGAAAUCCCUGGGCUUAACCUAGGAACUGCAUUUUGAAACUGAAAUACUAGAGUAUCGUAGAGGGAGGUAGAAUUCUAGGUGUAGCGGUGAAAUGCGUAGAUAUCUGGAGGAAUACCUGUGGCGAAAGCGGCCUCCUAAACGAAUACUGACACUGAGGUGCGAAAGCGUGGGGAGCGAAAACAGGGAUUAGAUACCCGU
RNAcentral lists this ribosomal RNA (461 nucleotides) under uncultured bacterium. Its description in RNAcentral is "bacterial SSU rRNA". It matches the Rfam family "Bacterial small subunit ribosomal RNA", at positions 340 to 789 of the family's 1533-position model. The record is from RNAcentral.